GCGCCCGUAGUUUAAUGGAUAGAAUUGAGGAUUCCGGUUCCUUAGGUUGGGGUUCGAUUCCCCACGGGCGUACCA
Molecule: transfer RNA, 75 nt
Filed under: Bacteroidales bacterium
Lineage: Bacteria; Pseudomonadati; Bacteroidota; Bacteroidia; Bacteroidales
Also listed under: 1 other name
Description: tRNA-Arg
Rfam family: tRNA
About the family: Transfer RNA (tRNA) molecules are approximately 80 nucleotides in length.
Source: RNAcentral